This 293-nucleotide ribosomal RNA is filed under the name uncultured soil bacterium. RNAcentral describes it as "partial 16S ribosomal RNA". It matches the Rfam family "Bacterial small subunit ribosomal RNA", at positions 26 to 346 of the family's 1533-position model. The record is from RNAcentral.
AGAACGAACGCUGGCGGCAUGCCUAAUACAUGCAAGUCGAACGAACUCUUCGGAGUUAGUGGCGCACGGGUGCGUAACGCGUGGGAAUCUGCCCUUGGGUUCGGAAUAACAGUUGGAAACGACUGCUAAUACCGGAUGAUGACGAAAGUCCAAAGAUUUAUCGCCCAGGGAUGAGCCCGCGUAGGAUUAGCUAGUUGGUGAGGUAAAGGCUCACCAAGGCGACGAUCCUUAGCUGGUCUGAGAGGAUGAUCAGCCACACUGGGACUGAGACACGGCCCAGACCUCCUACGGGA